This 254-nucleotide ribosomal RNA is filed under the name uncultured bacterium. Its description in RNAcentral is "partial 16S ribosomal RNA". It matches the Rfam family "Bacterial small subunit ribosomal RNA", at positions 524 to 776 of the family's 1533-position model. The record is from RNAcentral.
UACAGAGGGUGCGAGCGUUGUUCGGAAUUAUUGGGCGUAAAGGGCGCGUAGGCGGUGCAGUAAGUCACCUGUGAAAUCUCCUGGCUCAACUGGGAGCUUGCAGGCGAAACUGCCGUGCUGGAGUGUGGGAGAGGUGCGUGGAAUUCCUGGUGUAGCGGUGAAAUGCGUGAGAUAUCAGGAGGAACACCUGUGGCGAAAGCGGCGCACUGGACUACAACUGACGCUGAGGCGCGAAAGCUAGGGGAGCAAACAGG